Podarcis lilfordi (Lilford's wall lizard) is the source of this 5985-nucleotide non-coding RNA. The record is from the annotation of a GenBank genome assembly. Lineage: Eukaryota; Metazoa; Chordata; Lepidosauria; Squamata; Lacertidae.
CUUUAUUUACUUUAUAAUCAUGCAUCGGUUCACAUCAAUAGUGGCAUUAAAAACUGUGCAAGCAAAAUACAUUUGCCGGAGACCCCCCACCCAAACCCCAGAAAUACACAAAAGGUAGAUUUUUGAUUAAUUGGGAUAUCAAUGAAAGUACAGGCUGCACAACUGUGCCGGACAAGGAAUUCCUGGGCUGACUUUUGCAAACUUGGCUGGCCCGUCUAGCAAAGGGCAAAUCUGUUAACACACCUGAGCUUGCUGGGCACAUGACCCAAGGGGAAGUGGGGAUGAGCCCCAAAGGUAUGGUGGGUACACAGUCUAUCAUUUCAAGGGAAAGGUCUCUAGGGGACUUUAGCUUGCACAGGGCAGAAGCGUAGUGAGAUUUAUUUUGUAUUAUUUCUUUCCACCAUCACUGCGUGUGACCCUUUGAAAAGAGGUUCCUUAAACUCCUUAAUCUGAGGCAAGGAGGCAACAGCGAAAGGCUGAGGGUCCAGGCUGGUCCCUGAGUCCUGCUGAAAGAACUAAUCUGUCAGUUCAGACUUCUGGGUUCCCUGGCAUUUCCCAUAUGUAUCCUCUGGGACAACACUGGGUCUCUACCACCACUGGAUAUUCCUGGUCUCAGCUCGCGCCUGACGCUACAGUUCCCAGAUGGACACAGAGUACAACUGGGAACAUUAAACCUCAGGAGCCACCGACAAUUUCAUGCCCUGCGAGAUUGCCCAGCAGCAUGGUGUGGCAAUGCAAUAAUUGGGGAAUCUGCAGACAGUGAGAGCCCAUACUGUAUCCUGCUUCCUCCACAGGGCCAGGCUCCAGGGAUGAGGCUCCAGCUCCAGCUUCCAGGAUGAAGAGCAAGAUAACAUCCCGGUGGAUCCCGGCCCCUGACCCUCGCCUGCCUCCCCCUCCAUCCGUUCUCUGUGCGGGCAUGGCUCCUUCCCGGCCCUGUUUGGCGCAGAAGCAGCAGCCAAAGUUUCCUCCCAUUAAAACAGCCUCUCGAGUUAUUCCGGAGCCGGGGCAGACUUUGGCUGCUGCCUCUGUGCCAGGCCGGUCGGGACGGAGCCCAGACGCCCGUACGGAGGAGUUCAGGGUGGGGCAGCUAAUAAGAUCAGGUAGGAGGAAAUGCCCCCUUUCCAGGUCCCAACCCUCCUGCCCCAGACUGGGGCUCGUGUGGCUGGGAGCCAGGCGCCGGCUGAUGUCUCCCUUUGUUUUGCAGCGAGUAGAAGGUUCAGCCUGGGAGCCGCUGCAUCCCGGGAGGGACUGGAGCCGAGACAAUGGCCUCUCGCCUCACAGGUAAGGGGACAGGGGGAUUUCAUUGCUUUGCCGCUCUAUGCUUUGCUGCUCGUGAUUUGCGGGUUUGGGGGGCGCGGGCAGGUGGUGCGUCGGAAUGUCACCCCCCUUCAGGAUGGCACUUGGGGCAGCCCGUCCCCCUGCCCCCCAUCGGUACGCCCCUGGCCACAAACAGGAUUCGAGCCCAGGAGCCAUCUGCUCACCUGGGACUUCUUGAAGCCCCGCCCCUGGUCGUUUGGUCUGUGACAGACCAUUCACACAUUCAGGGAUUCCUUCUUUCUUGCAGGGUUUGGCUUCUGCUCCGCUGUGGCUGCUGCUGAAGCCCCUUCCCCACAAAUAAUACAGGUAAGAGUAAGAAGGGAGAAUUUGCAUGGAGCGGGGAAAAGUGCCUCCUGUAGAGCGAAAAAUACGGUAUUCCGGAGCCGGGGGAGAAUUUGGCUGCUGCCUCUGUGCCAGGCCGGUCGGGAUGGAGCCCAGACACCCGUACGGAGGAGUUCAGGGUGGGGCAGCUAAUAAGAUCAGGUAGGAGGAAAUGCCCCCUUCCCAGGUGCCCCACCCUCCUGCCCCAGACUGGGGCUAGUAUGGCUGGGAGCCAGGCACCUGCUGAUGACUCUGUUUGUUUUGCAGGGAGGAGAAGGUUCAGCCUGGGAGCCACUGCAUCCCGAGAGGGACUGGAGCCCAGACAAAGGCCUCUCACCCCAGAGGUACUGGGACAGGGGGAAGGACAAAGACCCCCGUACGGAGGCAAGGUAGGGGGAAAUGCCAAUUGAGUGCUGGAGUGUGGGGGGGAGAGCAGGCCUGUCUCGCACCAGCCCCUCACCCCCCUCCUUCCAAGCCAGGGGUCAUGCCAUUAUGUGCCCAGGCAGGAGCAGCGAUCGUUGGCAGCCAAUGGGGACGUGGGCAGAGAGAACAUCCCGGCGGUUCCCGGCUGGCAACCCUCGCACCUCUUCCCCACUGCCCCUUCUCCAUGUGGUCAUGGCUCCUUCCCAGCCCUACUUGGCGCAGAAAGAGGAGCCAAGGUUUCCCCCCGUCAAGAACACCUCAAGAGUUAUUCCGGAGCCGGGGGAGACUUGGGCUGCUGCCACUGUGCCAGGCCGGUCGGGACGAAGCCCAGACGCCCGUAUGGAGGAGGACAGGUUGAGGCAGCUUAUAAGAUCAGGUCGAAGGAAAUGCCCCUUCCCAGGUCCCCCCCCUCCUGCCCCAGACUGGGGCUAGCAUGGCUGGGAGCCAGGCGCCUGCUGAUGUCUCUGUUUGUUUUGCAGUGAGGAGAAGGUUCAGCCUGGGAACAGCUGCAUCCUGGGAGAGACUGGAGCCCAGAUAAAGGCCUCUCAACCCAGAGGUAAUGGGAUAGGGGGAAGGAGAAAGACCCCCGUAGGGAGGCAAAGAGUGGAAAGGCUCAGAGUUCAGGUAGGGGGAAAUGCCAAUUGAGUGCUGGAGUGGGGGGGGGGGGAGCAAGCCUGUCUUGCCCCAGCCCCUCACCCCCUCCUUCCAAGCCAGGGUUGGGCCAUUAUGUGCCCAGGCAGGAGCAGCGAGCGUUGGCAACCAGUGGUGACGUGGGCAUGGGCAGCCUGGCAGGGGUGCUUUUUCUGUCCCCCUCCUUCCCUGGGUCAGCUGGCCAGACACCCUCACCAGCACUCAGGCUGUCCCUACAGAAGUUUGGGGGCUGCUCCCCCCGGGGGCCCUAUGUCUCCACCGCAGGAGGGCCCUUCCUCCACUGGCUUGCCUGCCCAUGAGCUGCUGCCGAGCUGCUCUGUGCCAAACAGGAGAAGGAGAGAUGUGGAAAAGCGAGGAAGGGAGGGAGCUGGGAAGGCAGACGGGGGAGAAAAUAUUGAGGGCGAUGUGCCCCAGAAGGAAAUCAUUGGGGACGGCCCAUGGGACCCCUGUCCCCUAGAGAGUACAAUGUCCUUCUUCCUUUGCAGGGCCGUGGUUUGGGGAAACCACAACCAGCCCAGCAGCAGCCCAGCGGUGCAGGGAAACCCACCAAAAUCCGGAGGUAUGCUGUGACCUUGUGUGGCAGGGGAAGGGUUUCCCAGUGAUCUUGACAGCUGGAGGAGGACGGCCUGAUUUAGAGAUCCCUAUAGUUUUAUGGAGAGGGUUUCUCUGUGGUCCACCUGGCCAGCAAAAGGAGUGGGAUCCUCUGCCAAGGCUGCGCUGGGGCAUUUUUAGGAUGGCAUGACCGGGGUGCUCACGCUGGGCACCACGCUGCAGAGUGGGCGAAAACUAUGUGGAAGAACAAGAGGGAGGGGUGGCAAAUUGUAGGGUGGUACAGGCAGGGCCGUAGCUAGGGGGUGGUGAGGUGGGCCCCCAAUGGGAGCGCAGGUGAGGGGUGGGGCACAAAAUCGGCUCAAAAAUAUCUCCAUAAAUAUGUCUAAAUAUAUAGAGGAUAAUAAUAAAUAUUAUCCUCUAUAUAUUUAUCUGGAACUCCUCCAAGCAAUCAGAAUAACAGAGCUUGUUUCUUCCUUAGGCGAGAGGCCAGCCAGAACAAGGGGGGAAAGGCUCCCACUUCAGGUAAGUGAAAAUCCCAAUUGAGUGCCCUAUAUUACAGGAAUUCUUCCUUCCCAUGUCUCCCAUGUCUCCCACCCUCAUGCACCAGACUGGUACUAGCAUGGCUGGGAGUCAGGUGCCUGCUGAUGUCUCUGUUUGCUUUGCAGGAAGGGAGCCUUUCCCCAAUGUGUACUUUGUUCUGACCAAAUCCCUGGAGACACAUGAGGACCCUCAGGUACUGGGGCAGAAGGAAAGAAGGGGUCCUUUUGAAACAUGUUUGGGGAUGCGUACGAACACUGUCCCCUGUGGCUGCUGCCGAAGCCGCCCUUACAAAAAGAACAGGUAAGAGGAAGGAAAGAUUUGCAUGGGGCUGGGAGAACACCCUACAAGUUGAGCGUCAACAGAAAAUAGGAGAAAAACCUUCCUGCAUGAGAGGAGAAAGGAGAUGGUCUCGUCCAGAAGUGGGUUGGCCAAGCUUUCUUUGGGAGCAAUGUCAGGGCAGGGACAUUGGGUAUCCAUUCCUCACGUCUGCCAGGAUAUUACGAAGUCUUUCUUCCUCCACAGGGCCACGCUUCAAAAGAAUGGUCUCCAUCGCCACUUCCCAAGCUGAUGGACAAGAGCCAAACUCCGUCAUCUGUGGCAUUCCAGUCUUGCAUUUCUGGAUUGACUCCCAAAAUCUAUGAACAGCAAAGAGCGAUCACAUGCACGAACUCCUUAAUUAAGCACUUCUCUCAACAUUUGAACUUUGAUGUGAGUAAGCAGGUCUCAAGGUGACUUCUGGACCAAGGCUUAACGCUGAAAAUUCAGAUUGUUUUCAUAGGGCCACGCUUCCAGAGAAUGGUCUCCAUCGCCACUUCCCAAGCUGAUGGACAAGAGCCAAACUCAGUAUUCCGUGACAUUUCGGUCUUGCUUUUCUGGACUGUAAAGUCCUUCCAAGUCGCUGGAGGAAUCCAUGCUACUCAGUGCCUUGCAUAUCUUCUGGGAUGUUCCGGUUGCUGUCUGAAUGUGCCCUUCCCUGGAAGAGGAGAGCGGCAUGACUGGCACAUGUUAAAAUUAAAUAAAGAAGUCAGAGCAACUGGUUGCUUUCAAUAUGCCAAUGAUCAAAUAAUAUUCCGUAACAAACAGUAUCAAAAAAGCGGGGGGGGGGGGAGGAGCUGUUUUCUUUCCUUCUCUGGCUACUACUGGGAGCUCUGCUUGAGAAGGCUGGAGCCAGCUGGUUCUCAUCAGCACUUUCUCCUUGGAGUCCUUGAAGCUGCAGGUGAAGUCACUCCCCCUUCUCCCCCUUCAGGCUGCUGUUCAGCAGGUCAAGCUGAUUCCUGCCCCGUGACACGAUCCCCCUUCCCCAAGGUGCGCCUCCACCUGCUGGGUGGGUGCUGGCUUUUAGGGAGCACAAUGGUGGAAGUGAUGGACCAACCGGGGGGAGGGGGAGCAUCUUCCCAUGCAAGGCAUCUUCCCAGGAGGAUUUCCCACGAAGGCCAUGAAAUUGGCCGUAGACCCCAAAUCUAUCAUCUUCUUCUAUCAUCUUCACUCAUAGCCGAGUAAGAUUGUCUUCCAUGAACAUGGUCUUAAGAGUCCAUAAUGGACUGUGGAGGCCAAUUCUGGAUCCACACUUCCUUCCACAAUGGGGACAUAGGUUUCCGGGUGGGAGUUGAUCAUGGUGAGGGUUUGCCAAACAUUCUUCCUCCUAGUUUAUUUCUCCCUUUUGUCCUGAGUUCGAGUGUCUUCAAAGUCCAUGACACCAUUGGUAAAGGUUUUUCUCUAAUUGGAGCACUAGCACGCCAGUGUUUCCCAAUUGUUUAUACUACAUUUCUUUUAGAUUUGCUUUGAGAGAGUCUUUAAACUUCUUUCAUUGACCACCACAUUACAUUUUUAAGUUGCUUGGGAAGACAAUAAUCUGGUCUAUAAGGCUACUUUCUAGGUAAUUGGAGAGGGUGGUGUGAGGCAUCUGGGCAUUAGGAAUACAAGCCAAGCCUGGCUCUGUGGCCCUCCUAAAUUGAGGUUAUUCUGUUCCUGGGCAGCUGGCAGAGCCCCUCUUCACUGGGCAUGGGACUGCCCCUUUCCCGGCCUCCACAGGAGACUCACAGUCCCUCUCUGCGUCUCUGUUCCCUUUUGGCAACCAUCAAACGACUCUCAUACUGAUCCUAAGCUGAAGAGCUGCCCAGCCCAGCUGACCUUCCCCCUCCAGAGCCCACCGCUCUCAACCGACUCUCAACUGCCUCCUCC